This 339-nucleotide unclassified non-coding RNA is filed under the name soil metagenome. RNAcentral describes it as "partial contains 5.8S ribosomal RNA, internal transcribed spacer 2, and large subunit ribosomal RNA". The stretch from base 1 to 120 matches the Rfam family "5.8S ribosomal RNA", at positions 35 to 154 of the family's 154-position model. The record is from RNAcentral.
GAUGAAGAACGCAGCGAAAUGCGAUACGUAGUGUGAAUUGCAGAAUUCAGUGAAUCAUCGAAUCUUUGAACGCACAUUGCACCUCUCGGUAUUCCGGGAGGUAUACCUGUUCGAGCGUCAUUUGUACCCUCAAGCUCUGCUUGGUGUUGGGUGUUUGUUCCGCCUCUGUGUGUGAACUCGCCUCAAAACAAUUGGCAGCCGGCGUACUUGUUUCGGAGCGCAGCACAUUUUGCGAUCCAGAUCAACGUACAGCGGCAUCCAAGAAGCCUUAUUUAACGCUCUUGACCUCGGAUCAGGUAGGGAUACCCGCUGAACUUAAGCAUAUCAAUAAGCGGAGGA